This 492-nucleotide ribosomal RNA is filed under the name uncultured bacterium. RNAcentral's name for it is "partial 16S ribosomal RNA". It matches the Rfam family "Bacterial small subunit ribosomal RNA", at positions 29 to 507 of the family's 1533-position model. The record is from RNAcentral.
AAUGAACGCUGGCGGUAGGCCUAACACAUGCAAGUCGAACGGCAGCACAGUAAGAGCUUGCUCUUAAGGGUGGCGAGUGGCGGACGGGUGAGGCAUACAUCAGAAUCUACUUUUUCGUGGGGGAUAACGUAGGGAAACUUACGCUAAUACCGAAUACGACCUACGGGUGAAAGCAGGGGAUCUUCGGACCUUGCGCGACUGAAUGAGCCGAUGUCGGAUUAGCUAGUUGGGGGGGUAAAGGCCCACCAAGGCGACGAACCGUAGCUGGACUGAGAGGAUGAUCAGCCACACUGGAACUGAGACACGGUCCAGACUCCUACGGGAGGCAGCAGUGGGGAAUAUUCGACAAUGGGCGCAAGCCUGACGCAGCCAUACCGCGUGGGUGAAGAAGGCCUUCGGAUUGUAAAGCCCUGUUGUUUGGAAAGAAAAGCAGCGGGUGAAUACCUCGCUGUUCUGACGGUACCCAAAGAAUAAGCACCGGCUAACUUCGUG